RNAcentral lists this ribosomal RNA (372 nucleotides) under uncultured organism. RNAcentral's name for it is "bacterial SSU rRNA". It matches the Rfam family "Bacterial small subunit ribosomal RNA", at positions 526 to 896 of the family's 1533-position model. The record is from RNAcentral.
CGUAGGGUCCAAGCGUUAUCCGGAAUCACUGGGCGUAAAGCGUGCGUAGGUGGCGUGUUAAGUGAAAUGUUAAAUCGUGUGGCUCAACCAUAUCGAUGCAUCUCAUACUGGCAUGCUAGAGGACAGCAGAGGCAAGUGGAAUUACGAGUGUAGCAGUGAAAUGCGUAGAUAUUCGUAGGAACACCAAUGGCGAAGGCAGCUUGCUGGGCUACUCCUGACACUGAGGUACGAAAGCGUGGGGAGCGAACAGGAUUAGAUACCCUGGUAGUCCACGCCGUAAACGAUGCAUACUAGUCUUAUGGGGUAUCGACCCCCUGUGAGACGAAGCUAACGCGAUAAGUAUGCCGCCUGGGAAGUACGGCCGCAAGGCUA